UUAUCUGCCCAGUAGAAUUUAAAUGGCCGCAGUACCCUGACUGUGCUAAGGUAGCAUAAUCACUUGACUUUUAAAUGGAGCCUAGAAUGAAAGAAUGAACGUAGAAUACUUGUCUUACACACAAUAUUUUUAAAUUAAUGUAUGAGUGAAAAUGCUCAUAAAUAUAAAAAUAGACGAGAAGACCCUUAGAAUUUUAAAAAUAUUACAAGUAUUUAUUUUGUAAGAAUUUUUUGUUGGGGCAACAAUAUUUCAAAAAAAUAAAUAUACAUUUAUUAGAUAUGUCGAUUUAAUAGUUACAGAAAAAUUACCUAAGGGAUAACAGCAUAAUUUAAAUGUUAAGUUUGUGACCUUGAUGUUGGACUAGGUACUAUUAAGGCUAAUCGUUUUAA
RNAcentral lists this ribosomal RNA (389 nucleotides) under Albinaria hippolyti. RNAcentral describes it as "partial 16S ribosomal RNA". The record is from RNAcentral. Lineage: Eukaryota; Metazoa; Mollusca; Gastropoda; Stylommatophora; Clausiliidae.